AGAGAUGCAGUUGGCAUAAAGUGUGCGCAGGCGGUUUUGUAAGACAGAGGUGAAAUCCCCGGGCUCAACCUGGGAACUGCCUUUGUGACUGCAAGGCUGGAGUGCGGCAGAGGGGGAUGGAAUUCCGCGUGUAGCAGUGAAAUGCGUAGAUAUGCGGAGGAACACCGAUGGCGAAGGCAAUCCCCUGGGCCUGCACUGACGCUCAUGCAUGAAAGCGUGGGGAGCAAACA
RNAcentral lists this ribosomal RNA (230 nucleotides) under uncultured Alicycliphilus sp. RNAcentral describes it as "partial 16S ribosomal RNA". It matches the Rfam family "Bacterial small subunit ribosomal RNA", at positions 548 to 774 of the family's 1533-position model. Lineage: Bacteria; Pseudomonadati; Pseudomonadota; Betaproteobacteria; Burkholderiales; Comamonadaceae. The record is from RNAcentral.